GGGGAAGCAAGCCAGUAAGAAACAUCUCUCCAUGGCCUCUGCAUCAGCUCCUACUUCCUGAUCUGCUUGAUUUCCAGUUCUGACUUCAUUUGGUGAGGGACAGCAAUGUGGAAAUCUUCUUUGAUGAGGGGUGAGAGCUACAUUGAUCUGUGGAUGUGGAGGCAAUGUGGCUUCCUCAGAUAAUGGUACUUGAAUGACUCAUGGUAUUGAUGCCCCAAGUCUCAAGGGACCUAAUGUGUUUGUCCUCUGACACUGAUGUGGAACCCGGCACUUUGUGAGAAGCAGUGUCAAGGAUCACUCUACCUGCCCUGUCACAUUCAUGGGGGUUUGCCAGCUCCGCAUGACCAGACGUGGUUCUGGGGGAGGACUGGCACCUAAAGAAAACCACAUGUGACUGGCCACAAGCUCACCUCACCAGGCUCCUGGAUCUUAUGGCUAGCACCAUCAGCUCCUUUCUGCGUCCCACACACAUUCCCCAGUGUGUACGUUGCUCUCUCAUGACUGUGAACGAACACAAGGAGCACACAAGACCUGUGAGACCAACUCACCCCGCUCUGCCCCAUCACAAACGGAUGUCCUAUGAAACUCAAGACCCACGUGCCCUGCAAAGGGGAAACCUUGACAAACUCAUUACCAGACGGCCUCUUUCAAUUUCAAGAAAAAUUGUGGUCUUCUACUUCUAACGGAAUACCUAAAACAUCCGAGGAGCAUUUAAGGAAAAAUCCCCUGAGUACUGGGUCUACCACAUUAAUCCAUUAAAAUGCAAAGGCAUUACAAAAGGAUGGAACUUCUCUAGUGGCUCAUGCUAGACAGUUCCACACUGCUUGCUGAAACUGGAAGAUGACACAGGCAGAAAUGGGCAUGGGCAAGACUCCGCCUGCCUAGGAGUUCCAAUGCCAUCCUCUCUAGUGCUUCACACACGUCUGACAGCUAAU
This 935-nucleotide long non-coding RNA is filed under the name Mus musculus (house mouse). RNAcentral's name for it is "predicted gene, 49172". The record is from RNAcentral. Lineage: Eukaryota; Metazoa; Chordata; Mammalia; Rodentia; Muridae.